GUGGGGAAUAUUGGACAAUGGGGGAAACCCUGAUCCAGCCAUGCCGCGUGUGUGAAGAAGGCCUUAGGGUUGUAAAGCACUUUCAGUGGGGAGGAAGGCUUCAGAUUAAUACUCUGGAGUACUUGACGUUACCCACAGAAGAAGCACCGGCUAAUUUCGUGCCAGCAGCCGCGGUAAUACGAAAGGUGCGAGCGUUAAUCGGAAUUACUGGGCGUAAAGCGCGCGUAGGCGGUUUGUUAAGUCUGAUGUGAAAGCCCCGGGCUCAACCUGGGAAGUGCAUCGGAUACUGGCAAGCUAGAAUGCGGUAGAAGGGGGUGGAAUUCCAGGUGUAGCGGUGAAAUGCGUAGAUAUCUGGAGGAACAUCAGUGGCGAAGGCGACACCCUGGACCGAUACUGACACUGAGGUGCGAAAGCGUGGGUAGCGAGCAGGAUUAGAAACCCGGGUAGUCC
RNAcentral lists this ribosomal RNA (450 nucleotides) under uncultured bacterium. RNAcentral's name for it is "partial 16S ribosomal RNA". It matches the Rfam family "Bacterial small subunit ribosomal RNA", at positions 354 to 796 of the family's 1533-position model. The record is from RNAcentral.